UUUUCUCUCUUAAGUUGAACACGACUAUAGAUGUGCGUUUUCUGUAUAAUGUUCCGACAAGUUUGCCUCAAAAACAGGCAUCCCCUACAGAGACAUGCUGUUUUUUGAUGAUGAAUACCGCAAUAUAAGAGAUGUCUCAAAACUAGGUGUCACAUGUAUUCACGCACAGCACGGAAUGUCAAAUCAAAUAUUAGAAGAAGGUCUGAGAAAAUUUGAAGAUUUCUUGAUAUCUCCUGGCCUAUAGUUCCCACAUUUACUUCAAAUGCAAGUUACGUUCCAAGAGUGACGCAGAAUUUGUCUUACGUACAGUAUUUAUGGUUAUUUAUUGAUUGAGUCGUAUAUCUGCAAUAAAUUAAUUCUU
Long non-coding RNA from Ornithodoros turicata, 361 nucleotides. RefSeq lists it as uncharacterized. The record is from RefSeq and is a predicted model, not a curated record. Lineage: Eukaryota; Metazoa; Arthropoda; Arachnida; Ixodida; Argasidae. The transcript has 3 exons.